GAAAUGCGAUAAGUAGUGUGAAUUGCAGAAUUCAGUGAAUCAUCGAAUCUUUGAACGCACAUUGCGCCCUUUGGUAUUCCUUAGGGCAUGCCUGUUCGAGCGUCAUCUAAACCUUCAAGCCCUGCUUGGUGUUGGGUGCCUGUCCCGCCUCCGCGCGCGGACUCACCUCAAAUCCAUUGGCGGCCCCCGCGUCGGCCACGAGCGCAGCAAAAACGCGAACUCGUGAGCCCGUCCGGGCGGCUCCCAGAAGCUACACCCACCCAGUUUGACCUCGGAUCAGGUAGGGAUACCCGCUGAACUUAAGC
RNAcentral lists this unclassified non-coding RNA (305 nucleotides) under plant metagenome. RNAcentral describes it as "partial contains 5.8S ribosomal RNA, internal transcribed spacer 2, and large subunit ribosomal RNA". The stretch from base 1 to 105 matches the Rfam family "5.8S ribosomal RNA", at positions 50 to 154 of the family's 154-position model. The record is from RNAcentral.